UAGAUCAUGAGGUCAGGAGUUCAAGACCAGCCUGACCAAGAUGGUGAAACCCCGUCUCUACUAAAAAAAAUACAAAAAAGAAAAAAAAAAAUUAGCCGGGCAUGGUGGCACGCGCCUGUAAUCCCAGCUACUCUGGAGGCUGAGGCAGAGAAUUGCUUAAAUCUGGAGGGGCGGAGGUUGCAGUGAGCCAAGAUGGCGCCACUGCACUCCAGCCUGGGCGACAGAGCGAGACUCUGUCUCAAAAUAUAUAUAUACUUUAUUUCUCAACAUAAGCUUCCUAAAGUGUAAGACGCUUUUGUAAGUGAUGAUACCAGUCCAUUCCUACAGAACUGAGUGUUCUCGGGACUUAACCAUGUCAAUAUAAUCUUUUUACAUUACUAACUGAAGAAAAUAUGUGUCCUUUAAAGGCUUUCUUAAGAUUAGGAAGCAAAAAGAAGUCAGAAGGAGCCAAAGAAGGAUUGUAAGGUGGACACCUGAAGAUUUCCCAUCAAACUCUUGCAAAAUUGCCCUUAUUUGAUGACAGUAAUGAGCAGAAGCAUUGUUGUGUGGAGAAGGAGUCUCUGGUGAAGCUUUCCUGGAUAUUUUUUCUGCUAAACCUUUGGCUAAGUUUCUCAAAACACUUUCAAAAUAAGCAGAUACGAUUUUUCUUUGGCCCUCUAAAAAGUCAAUGACAAAAUGCCUUGACCAUCCUUAAAAACUGUUGCCAUGACCUUUGCUCUUGACUGAUCCAUUUUUGCUUUGACUGGAUCACUUCUACCUCUUGGUGGCCAUUGCUUUGAUUGUGCUUUGUUUUCAGGGUCAUACUGGUAAAGCCAUGAUUAUCUCCUGUUACAAUUUUUUUUGCAGAGAAGCUUCAGGAUCCUGAUCCUACUUGUUUAAAAUUUCCAUUUAAAGCUCUGCUCUUUUCCAUAGCUGAUCUGGCCACAGUGGUUUUAGCACACAUCAGUGGAGUUUGCUCAACUUUACUUUCUCAGUCAAAAUCGGGUAAGCUGAACCAACUGAGAUAUCUAAGAUACUGGCUGUUGUUGGUGCUGUCAAUUGUCAGUCUUUCUCAUUUAGGGCACGAACAAGAUUAAUUUUUCCUCACAAAUCAAUGUGGUUGGUUUCAUUUUGAACAUCACAUCAUCUUCUCCUUUCUUAAAAUAAGUCAUUUGUUUGUAAGCUGCUAAUUUCUUUGGGGCAUUGUCAACAUUAACUUUUCAUAAGGCAUCAGUGAUUUCAGAUAAUAUAUUGUCUCAUUAAAAAGAUUCUAGUUCUCAAGAAGGUAUAACCUGACAAUCUAAAAAGCUAUUAUAUGAAUUUUAAAGUGAUUUUUAAAAAUAUGCUUUUUGAAAAACGUGCAUUCAGUGACUUUAAGUAGUUUUGGGAUAUAUAUUUUUAUUUACACACACAUUUUGCCAUAUGUAUAUGGAUCUUCUAUGUAUCAUAUAUGGAUAUAUACAUUUAUGAUAUAUAUCAUAUUUUUUCUCAUAUAUAGAGAAAAUAUCUAUAUACAUGUGGUAGAAUUUCUAACAAAGCCUAAAUAUAUUUUUAAAGUUCCUAAAUAUCAGGUUUGAUUCAGAGAAAAAGAUUCCAUUAUUAGUGUUAUGAAGAAAGACAUUUAAAUUUCAUAUCACGUAUUUUUCUUUUGAAAGUUUUAUAUAUAUAAAUGUACACACAUGCUCAUAUUUUAUAUACAUGAUCUUCAAAAAGUUCAUAGAAAAUAUAUGUUAUGAAAAAACUAUGCAUGGAUUUGCAAUGUUUUUGCACCAAAAUAAGCUUAUAAUAAUUUAUUAUAACAUGUCUGAACAGGAUCUGGUUUGAGGCACCAAGAAGGCUAAGGUAUCAGUUUUCAGGUAUAUGCGAUGCAUAUUUUGCCAUGUAUGUUUGUGUCUAAAUUUUGGAAAUGAGCUAGGUAUCUUCUUUUCAAAUAAAAAAAAUUGUGGCCAUACUUGUUUCUAUUGCCUUACAUGAAUUAAGCACAUAAUUAGCCAGCAUUCAUUCAUUCACUCAUUCAUUCAUGAAUAAUCAACAAACACUUACUGUGUAUUUAUUAUGUACCAUUCACUAGGAGCGUCACCUUUCAGAGGAAAAAAACAGAAAUGUAACUCACACAGAUAAAUGUACAACUAACAAUUCUGAUAAGAUCUGUGAGGGAAAAAAAGAAAGUGCUAUGAGAAUGAAAAUGUACUUUAAUAUACUUUGUUUUCAUGUGAAAAAUACCUGCAAGUUCCCAAGAUUAUUUUUCUCCAGUGUUAGUAUGCAUAAAAUGAGUUUUCUGUGGUACAUUAGUCACUAAGGUACACUAGGUUUUAGUAGAAGAACAAUAUAAUUUUUCACCAUUCCUGCCAAACACAUUCAGAAAGAGAGAAAUAUAAUGUUAUCUCUAUGUGGCCCUUGAGGAAAUUGAGUCAAAAGGAGAUUGAGUAACCUGUCCAAAAAAAUUAAGUCAUGGAAGCUGGAGCUCUUUACAUCCAGGCACUGUUUAUAAGAUCAAGUUGUCAUGGUUGGCUUAAGAUGGAGAAAGAACCUAAGAAACACAAUGCCAACCCCAUCAUUCUGCAGAUAAUAAAAUUGAGGUCAAGUGUCUUGCCCACUGCCACAAAAGUGCUGAAGCUUAAUUAGCAUGCAGGUGACUUGGUUCUGAGUCCCCUGUUCUUUUCACUCUGACAUAUGCCAUGAUCGAUAAAUUUAACAUUAGUUUCAGCCUAAUGUUUAAAGAUUUUAUUUUCUCUUUUAACUUAAAUAUUCUAUAUUCUAAGAUAUUAUAAUUUCCCCUCCACCAACCUAAACUUAGUUGAGUUGAAUACUUGAUAUUUGCCCAAACAUCAAGCAUCUAGAGAAGAUUCUACAAAACCCAAAUAUAAAGAAUCCAAAACUCACCUUCACCACAACUGGAUCUCAAAUUACCCACGGCCAUUGUUUAGCCACUCAGUAGGAGGGGAGAAUGUAACAGGGAUAACGUUUUCUUGGAAAGAGACAAUGGUCUUUAUUAAUUAUAACUGAAAUAUCUCAUUUGUGUAAAUUUUACAAAAAUGAAUUAUCAUGUAAACAUAUUUAUUAGGUCCCCUCCCAGGGCCUUGGGAGUCCUCUGCAAGGGAAAGGUCCUGAAGCUUAAGCUUUGUUGACUUCACAGGAAAUGAACCUCUUGUUUCUGAAAGCUUAGAAUCAAAUUUAGAACGCACCUUUAACAACAGACCACAGGACUUGAUUGGAAUGGAUUUCUGAAGUCUAACAUUUUCUCUGGCAUUAUUUAAUCCUUGCAUUAAUGAUUCCCCAUUGUCCUAAUCAUUUCUUAUUUUACUCUGUCAGAGUUAAGGGUGAAGUGCCCAAGGAAAAGCAACAGUGGGAAGUUGUCAGCUACCCAAUGCCUGAAGAAGCAAGUGGAGAAAACUAUGGUAUCUGAGCUUGAAGAGAGCUCAGGGUCCUAAAGGGCAGGGUUGGGGGAGGGUAGGUGUCAUUAGAGUCAAGGCACUGAGGCAGGCAGGCAGAGGACUAAGAACUCCCUCAGACCCCACCACUUCAAACUCCUGUUGGAGCCUCCUGACUCUGGUUGCUGCUAAUAUGAGCUAGGGGCCAAGGAACUUUAGAUGGUGCAGUUCAUAGGGUACAAAGCAGAGCAGAGAAUGGCAGACCGCAAAUCUAAUGAGGGGAACAAACCAAGAUUAACCGGCUCAGGCCUGAAUACCCUUAAAAUAAGGUCUAGAAUAAUGUAGAUUACUAUUUAAAUACCUGGGUACAGGUUUAUAUUAAUAUUUAAAAUUAUGAGAAUCUCUUUAUCAGUAAUUCAAACUCCAUGAAAAAGAGAGCAAAAUUGACAUAGAUUUUUGGUUGGUUGGUUGAUUUUAUUGUUUCUUCUGUUUUGUUUGUUUGUUUGUUUUUGUUUUUUUUAUGAUGAACCAAAAGAAAAAAAAACAACUUUUAAAAGCCGAUAAGGAGCUGUUAAUUUAUGUAGUCAUGUAAUACUUACGAAUUUAUUACUAAAUAUAUUUGUGAAGGGGACACAUUAUCAAAGGUGGAUGAAUUGUAAUUUAAGUACCAAAUACCUUAUUCUGAAACAAAAGUUCAGAACAGUUUUCUUGACCCCAACAUUUUCAAGCCUGCUGAGAUUGUUUUGCCUGUCUCUUCACAUAUUUUGUCAUUCUGGUCAUUAUACUCACAACUCCUGCAUCAAUAACUUCCUGGAAACCACUUUCUCUUUAGCCUUCUUAGCACAGUCCUUGUCCAUUGUGUCUGUGGUUAUAGGUGUAAGUGGGUGUGAAAUUGAAGCACUUGGACUCCUGGAUUGAAGCUGUGAUGCAAACUCUCACUCAGGCAGUGAGCAAGUAGGGUUGUCUGCUUUCCUUUUCUGUCUUAGGUCAUUGAAUGUACAAUCCUCUAUGCAGUGAGUGAUUAAUGCAGAUACAAAGCUUAGCCUUUACGUGCUACUGAGCUGCUGAGAACAAUUUAUAGGACUAACUACAACUCUAAUGUGUGUGCAGGAAGUUUUUCCCUAAAAAGACUUGGAAAUAUUACAACGUACCUUUGUAGUUUGGGUGCUUUUGAGGCAUGGAAACACAGACUAAAAUAUAUUUAGGGAUACAAGUUUCCCCCUUUCAAAAUUUGUCACAGUAGGAGAAAUGCCCUUUUUGUCACAUAAUAAUAGAUUUGCUAUUGUCAGAAUGAAUGUAUUCUGCCCCACUAGUAUGAUCUCCAUGAACAGGAUCAAAUUUCUGUAUAUUUUAGAUUUACAGAGAAACUAAGAAGAUUAGUUUGCAUUUCUUGCCCCUGACUACUAUCCAUUCUCCUGGGGUUAUGGAAAGAACACAAAGUUUGACUUAGAAAACUUUGGGUUUAAUUCACUUUACUAGUUUUAUGAAAUUGCUUAACCUCUAAGCCUAGCUUUCCUCAUCUGUAAAACCUCAGCCAUAAGAGAUUGGAUAACAGCUACCUACUAUAAGGAUUAAGUACAAUUAUAUGGGUUAAACCUCUAAUCUGGUAUAUAGUAUAUGACCAUCACCCCAAAUCCAACAGUUCUCAUCUUUCAUUUUAUGCCAUGCUUUAUUAUUUUAUGUUUAUUUUCCCAUUUAUUUCGUAGAGAACACAUUUUGGGUUGCAGUUUUGUUAAGGAAAGGAAAAGACUAUACAAAUAACUUUUAAGGAAUUCUAAUAAUCAUUUCAUUAAAUCGGGCCAGUAUUUUUUUUCUGACAACUGAACACUUUAUCCAACAGUGCAACAUUAUUUUACACAUAUUAGGAAAUUGAUGAUUGCCAAAAAUACUUUUAACUGAUUUUGUUUCAUUUUUUGUUACUUCAGGACAAAAGUUAAAAUGCAUAUAGGAUCAAGUAUAAUUAUUUGUCCAUUUCAGUUCUAGGGGAAUCAGUUGAAUAUUUGAAUGGAUCUUAACAAAACUGAAUGUACUUUAUAGAGUACAUGACUUUUUUUCUUAAUUAACUAUCUGAAUUGUGAUAGACGUUGUGGUAAGUUUCUCAUCAUGUUUUCUUGCUUUUCUCUGAAAUAGCUGCUGACUUUGUAAGAGUGCUAAGUCACAGCUGCAUGAAUAUUCAAUAGCCUUGAAACAAGGACCAGGCAUUUGGUCGAUUGAUAGAUGAAUGUGUAGUGUCUGAGUUUUAUUCCUCUCAGGGAAAUUUUGAAAUUGAUGUGGCUAUGGCUAGCGGCAACUUAUAUGCACUAUUUGAAGCUCAUUUAUUACCUACUAUCUCAGUUGAAUCCUCUGAUUGAAAAUAGUGUAUUUAAAAUUAUGAUUUACUAUGCAACAAUCUAAAUGUAACUGAUUUUAAAUGCAUUGACUUUUGUUGUCACUAUCUUAACCAACAAUUUUAGAUAUGAUUUAAGGAUAAUAUAUUAUUUAAUUCACAUUUUCACAUUCUUAAAAUAAAUUUUUUCAGUACAUAUGAGCAUCAGGUCACUGAUUAAUUCAGUACCUAGCUACAAUAGGUGCUAAUGUUCACCACUAAGUAAUAAUUAUAAGCAUUUGUUAAAGUACCAAUUUCUAUUUCUACUCUACUUGUGAGUACUAUCCUAAUCCUUAAUUAGAAGGACAAUUAUAUAUAUAUAUAUAUAUGUAUGUAUGCAAUCGAGAUACUUAAUAUAUAGCCUCCAUUGGAUAUCUGGAUUGCUUAAUAAAUUUCAAAUACAUUUUAUUAACAGGUACUAAUGAAAUCAGUGAAAGAAGCUUGUUUUUCAUUCACAAAUUGUUAGUAUAUUGAAGAUUUACAAAAGAAUGGCCAUGUGUACACAUUUUUUACUACUGUGCACAUAUAUACUCAUCUGCAAAAACCAUUAUGGAUCAAUUGCAGUACUUAGACAUCACAAUUAUAAAUGGAGGAUUUUAAUAAUUAUUUAUAAAAAUAAUUUCAAAUGUAUUCCCUAGAAAAUUUAGGAUAAACAUUUUCUAACAUUUGAAUCAACUAUGCAAAAUCACUUGCAAUCAGUUUUUAGAGCCCAUUAACUUUGAUGUCAUUUCAAAUGCUGUUUACAUAUGGAAUAACUACUUUGAUUAUCCCCUAGGAAGUUAAUUUCGUGUUUAAAGCAAUGAAAUCUUCUUUCUUCCAUAUUUAAAAUUACAAAAAAAGUAAAGAAUAACAACACAGCAAGUGAGGAUGCUGAACAAAUAUAAGUCAUCUUGCUCAAAGUAUAUUUACUCUUUGAUCUUGAACUCUUCCUUUUUAUAAUUUUUUCCCUAAUUUUAAAAAGUGAGACAAUGCAUUUAAAUUUCUGUAUGCUACACCGUUUCUUCACCUUGGUUUAAAACAGAAAAUAUACCAGGGGUUACUUAAACCUGUACUCUAGGUACCCAAAGGCCCAUGAAAUACACAUUUACUAGCAAUGUUCAAUAACCUCCAAUAGGCAAUAUUAGUCUCAAACAACCACUUUAAAAUAUCCCUAAGGCUUCCUUUGCUGGUUUGAUUUUAGCAUUAAUGUUGUACAAGUUAUUUAUAUAAUAUAAAAUUAUAUUUCUUCAUC
Molecule: long non-coding RNA, 6946 nt
Filed under: Homo sapiens (human)
Lineage: Eukaryota; Metazoa; Chordata; Mammalia; Primates; Hominidae
Description: HSALNT0334980
Source: RNAcentral